Cyprinus carpio (common carp) is the source of this 1213-nucleotide long non-coding RNA. The record is from Ensembl. NCBI's taxonomy places the organism in Eukaryota, Metazoa, Chordata, Actinopteri, Cypriniformes, Cyprinidae.
UUUAUGAUUUGUGCAAAUCAUAAUAGUUUUAGGAGUAAAAAUUAUGUAAAAACAGAGAGGGGGGUGAAACAGGGCAGAUAAUCACAGAAAGAAGAAAUAGGAUCAGUCCAUCAAAGCUGAGGCAUCUGGUUUUUUUGAAUCCCAAUCUUCACUGAGGACAUUAAUACUGUUUGCUUGAGUUUGGUUCUAGUUCUGUUCUGUGGAUUUAUUUGCUGUUUUUUUGUUAAUUUGUGCAAAAAAUGUUUGAUUAAAAUAUUAAACAAAACAAACAAAAGAAUGGUUUUGUAACAAAAUAAAUGCACAAAAUUAGGCAAUUAUAAGGAUUCUCAUAAAAACACUGCACAUGAAAGGGUUUUCAACACACAAACCAUUAAUUUUUGCAAAGUUAUGGUAAAAUAAAGGCCUACAAAAAAAUUCUAAAUUAAGAGCCGUUCAGGAGUCGAAAGAGCCGGCUCUUCUUUGGGAGCUGAGCCAAAAGAGCCGGUUCUCUGAAAAGAGCCGAACUUCCCAUCACUAGAUGGCGAUAGCGCACCCAAUGAACGGUUAUUAAAUAGAAGUUUCCUGUUCCAGCGUUGCUUCCUGGUUGCUUCUGUAGAUGCUAUGUUAGCACAAGCUCGUGUCUGUAACAGUACUGUAUCAAAAAUAUGAAGCUCUUUACCACUGUCAUCGCAUUAUUUACAGUCGCUGUGUGUGUUCCUCCGUUGAAUUAUGAGGCAACUGAAGGAGAGAAUGUUACUAUCUCCUUCAAAACUGCUGGACUGGAGAGAGCCGAUCAAGUGAAGAUAACUUGGACCAGAGGAAGUCAGAAAAAACUGAUUGCGCAGUACUGUCGCUGUGUCCAUCGUGGAGACUGUAGUGUCAGGGAAACAUCGGGAGUCUUACUGAGAGCUGAAGAAGGAACCGUAACUCUUCUGCGUGUCAGCUCCAAUAACUCAGGCCUCUAUGAAGUAAUAAUCAUUGGGAAAAAUGUUUCUAGGAUAAAUGCCUCACUUGUUGUCAACGAACCUCUGUUGUCCUCCAGUAAUGAGCCACCACAAUCCUCCAUCACAAACCCUCCAGACUCCUCUGAACGCCAAAGGCUUUAUGUGUUAAUUGCUUCAGUUGUAUUCAUCUUGGUGGUCUUGGGGGGUUUGUUUCGUCUGUACAUUUUCAGGAGGAAAUGUAAGUCAUCAGCUGAUGUUGAAGCAGUGUGCUGAACCGCUGCUGUCUCCAG